GACAGCUGGGGCCCAGUCCCCAGGAUUCACUUGGCACGGACAACUUGCUAAGUAAAGCGGGGGGUGGACCACGGCUGGCUC
This is a microRNA precursor of Chlorocebus sabaeus (green monkey), 81 nucleotides long. It matches the Rfam family "mir-3943 microRNA precursor family". Lineage: Eukaryota; Metazoa; Chordata; Mammalia; Primates; Cercopithecidae. The record is from Rfam.